This is a long non-coding RNA of Nothoprocta perdicaria, 231 nucleotides long. RefSeq lists it as uncharacterized. The transcript is spliced from 3 exons. The record is from RefSeq and is a predicted model, not a curated record. NCBI's taxonomy places the organism in Eukaryota, Metazoa, Chordata, Aves, Tinamiformes, Tinamidae.
UCACCAGCCACAAUCAGCUUCUCGCUCUCAUCCAAAAUUUGUGAGGAAAGAGGUUGGAUUUGCCAGCCUUCUGAUUCAAGUUUUGAAGAUCCUUGGAAGCUGCCUUAUGUGCGGGCACUGAAGAGACUACAACAAAUUAAAAAGCAAAUAAAAGAGCAAAUAUCCAAAUCGAAAGAAGCAAGCCUUGAUAAACCAGUUUCUGUUCAGCACCAUGGAGGCCACAAAGAAGAA